Molecule: ribosomal RNA, 801 nt
Filed under: uncultured bacterium
Lineage: Bacteria
Description: bacterial SSU rRNA
Rfam family: Bacterial small subunit ribosomal RNA
Source: RNAcentral
AGAGUUUGAUCCUGGCUCAGGAUGAACGCUGGCGGCGUGCUUAACACAUGCAAGUCGAACGGGAAAUACUUUAUUGAAACUUCGGUCGAUUUAAUUUAUUUCUAGUGGCGGACGGGUGAGUAACGCGUGGGUAACCUGCCUUAUACCGGGGGAUAACAGCCAGAAAUGACUGCUAAUACCGCAUAAGCGCACAGAACCGCAUGGUUCGGUGUGAAAAACUCCGGUGGUAUAAGAUGGACCCGCGUUGGAUUAGCUAGUUGGCAGGGCAGCGGCCUACCAAGGCGACGAUCCAUAGCCGGCCUGAGAGGGUGAACGGCCACAUUGGGACUGAGACACGGCCCAGACUCCUACGGGAGGCAGCAGUGGGGAAUAUUGCACAAUGGGGGAAACCCUGAUGCAGCGACGCCGCGUGAAGGAAGAAGUAUCUCGGUAUGUAAACUUCUAUCAGCAGGGAAGAUAAUGACGGUACCUGACUAAGAAGCCCCGGCUAACUACGUGCCAGCAGCCGCGGUAAUACGUAGGGGGCAAGCGUUAUCCGGAUUUACUGGGUGUAAAGGGAGCGUAGACGGCGCAGCAAGUCUGAUGUGAAAGGCAGGGGCUUAACCCCUGGACUGCAUUGGAAACUGCUGUGCUUGAGUGCCGGAGGGGUAAGCGGAAUUCCUAGUGUAGCGGUGAAAUGCGUAGAUAUUAGGAGGAACACCAGUGGCGAAGGCGGCUUACUGGACGGUAACUGACGUUGAGGCUCGAAAGCGUGGGGAGCAAACAGAAUUAGAUACCCUGGUAGUCCACGCCGUAAACGAU